This 248-nucleotide ribosomal RNA is filed under the name uncultured bacterium. RNAcentral's name for it is "partial 16S ribosomal RNA". It matches the Rfam family "Bacterial small subunit ribosomal RNA", at positions 529 to 776 of the family's 1533-position model. The record is from RNAcentral.
AGGGGGCAAGCGUUGUCCGGAUUUAUUGGGCGUAAAGAGCGUGUAGGCGGCCAUACAGGUCAGAUGUGAAAACUCGAGGCUCAACCUCGAGACGUCGGUUGAAACCGUAUGGCUAGAGUCCGGAAGAGGAGAGUGGAAUUCCCGGUGUAGCGGUGAAAUGCGCAGAUAUCGGGAAGAACACCCGUGGCGAAGGCGGCUCUCUGGGACGGUACUGACGCUGAGACGCGAAAGCGUGGGGAGCGAACAGG